RNAcentral lists this unclassified non-coding RNA (560 nucleotides) under uncultured Borrelia sp. Its description in RNAcentral is "partial contains 16S ribosomal RNA and 16S-23S ribosomal RNA intergenic spacer". The stretch from base 139 to 212 matches the Rfam family "tRNA". The record is from RNAcentral. Lineage: Bacteria; Pseudomonadati; Spirochaetota; Spirochaetia; Spirochaetales; Borreliaceae.
UUUAGUGAGGGGGGUGAAGUCGUAACAAGGUAGCCGUACUGGAAAGUGUGGCUGGAUCACCUCCUUUCUAAGAGAAAGGUAUUAUUUAAAGGUAAAUUAUGUUUUAACUCUUCCUUUGUCUUUUCAAAGACUUUUUUUGGGGGUUUAGCUCAGUUGGCUAGAGCAUCGGCUUUGCAAGCCGGGGGUCGAGGGUUCGAGUCCCUCAACCUCCAUUUAUUUUAGAUCGAAUAAAUGGAGGUUGUAAUUAGAAGUAAUGCUUUGUUAGUUGUAGCUAAAUUUAAAAUUGUUAAAAAGCCAUUCUAAUUUUAUUAUCUAGACAAGUUAUUUUUUAUUACGUUUUUUAUUAAGUAAAGUUGUUUACGUGUGACAAGUCAUGAGAAGUGAUCUUGAUUUUAUUUUUUCAUUUUUUGUUUGUAUUCGUUAUAAUAAAUUUUGAUUUUAAAGAUAUGGGUUUAGGAUUUGUAAAUCACUAAGUGUAAGACAUUUCUUUAAAUAUUUGGAUGUUUUUUUAAACGAGUCUUAGUAAAUUGGGACCAGGAGGAGUGAACCUCCGACCUCAG